UCAGAGAACGGCGGCCGCAACGCACGAGCGGUGGUGUGGUGGUGUCGUAUUUAUAAAAACACCGACAUAUUAACUUUAGAAGAAUUGAAUGAAAUAUUGUUAUUUUAUUGUUUUCUUUCUUAGGUUUAAUACGCAAUUGUUCUUUAAUUGCGCUUACUGCGAGCCAACACCUGCUCAAAUAGUGGAGGAUUUGCUGCGAGCACUGCGCAGACAUUGCCAUCGCCAUCAUGGCGCCCGGCGUGUUUGGAGUUCGGAUAGAUCAGACUCUUCGUUGGCCUCGUUUUUAGGUGUUUGAUCCGUGACGUUUCGUCGAAAAAUCACAAGCGCGCAUGCCGUAGGUGUUUGCCUGGUUGCAAGAUCUUGCCGAUUUCAACGUUUUUCCACCUCUUCGGUAAGUACUUGACAUGCCUGGAUUACUGCAAUCAGCACGUUCUUAGCACUUUCUUCUUUGGCUCCCCACCGCGCGCAGGUUGGCGUACGCUGAACUGGACCCUCGCAGCAAGAAUGGCACGUGGGAAUUGACACCGCGAUCGUGGAACGCAUGGCUGAUCUGCCUCGAAUAACUGCAAGCCGGCGCGUGCGUAGUGCCGUGGAGAACGAUCAGAAGUCCUGGACGACAAAGAAAAAAACUUCAAAGCUGCCUCUGCGAACCCCGCUCCUGGACAACAGCUGGGAGGCUCUGUGUUUAAACGCGUGCACCUUGGACGUCAUGCUCCUGCCUCUGCAAGCCCUUUUGCUGGACGCCAUGGAAGGCCCUCCACUCGAAAGUGUGCACCUUAGACUACACGCUCAUCAAUACCAAGUUCUCUGUCCUUCUCGGCAUGAUUGUAGUGCCAUAUAAUAGUGAGGCAAUAAAUCAUUUUUGCUGGUCA
This is a long non-coding RNA of Rhipicephalus sanguineus (brown dog tick), 872 nucleotides long. RefSeq lists it as uncharacterized. The transcript is spliced from 4 exons. The record is from RefSeq and is a predicted model, not a curated record. NCBI's taxonomy places the organism in Eukaryota, Metazoa, Arthropoda, Arachnida, Ixodida, Ixodidae.